AAACCAGCACCUCAAGUGGUCAGGAGGAUUAUUGGGCCUAAAGCAUCCGUAGCCUGUUCUAUAAGUUUCCGGUUAAAUCCAUUAGCUCAACUAAUGGGCCGCCGAAAAUACUGUAGAACUAGGGAGUGGGAGAGGUAGACGGUAUUCGGUAGGAAGGGGUAAAAUCCUUUGAUCUAUUGAGGACCACCUGUGGCGAAGGCGGUCUACCAGAACACGUUCGACGGUGAGGGAUGAAAGCUGGGGGAGCAACCCGGAUUAGAAACCCCAGUAGUCC
This 274-nucleotide ribosomal RNA is filed under the name uncultured bacterium. Its description in RNAcentral is "partial 16S ribosomal RNA". It matches the Rfam family "Archaeal small subunit ribosomal RNA", at positions 473 to 747 of the family's 1478-position model. The record is from RNAcentral.